This 252-nucleotide long non-coding RNA is filed under the name Echeneis naucrates (live sharksucker). RNAcentral describes it as "lncRNA (ENSENLG00000017836.1)". Lineage: Eukaryota; Metazoa; Chordata; Actinopteri; Carangiformes; Echeneidae. The record is from RNAcentral.
AUGACCUCUGCUGCUUUGAAAAAUUGCAUUUUUGGUAUUUUCCUGUUUCAGGGCGCCUCUGGAGCAGCGGGCAGUGUCGGCAGUCAAGGACUGACGGGUUUUCAAGGAAUAGCUGGGGAAAGAGGAGCAGAUGGUCCAGAAGGUUCUCCGGGUCCACCAGGAAUGAUAGGACCUCCAGGCUUACCAGGACCCCCAGGAGAUAGGGGUUUCACAGGAAUGCCUGGCACCGAGGGACCUCAGGGCCCCUUAGGC